GAUGAACGCUAGCGAUAGGACUAACACAUGCUAGUCGAGGGGCAGCAUAGAGUAGCAAUACUUUGAUGGCGACCGGCGCACGGGUGAGUAACACGUAUGCAACCUACCUACAUCAGGGGAAUAACCCGGAGAAAUUCGGACUAAUACCGCAUAAUACAGGGAUGCCGCAUGGCAAUAUUUGUUAAAGAUUUAUCGGAUGUAGAUGGGCAUGCGUUCCAUUAGCUAGUUGGUAAGGUAACGGCUUACCAAGGCAACGAUGGAUAGGGGAACUGACAAGUUUGACCCCCCCACUGGAACUGCGAAGAGGACCAGACUCCUACGGCAAGCAGCAGUGAGCAAUAUUGGUCAAUGUACCAGGUGCUGAACCAGCCAAAUCUCAUUAAGGAAGACAGCCCUACGAGUUGUAAACUUCUUUUGAACAGGAAUAAAAGACAUUACGUGUAGUGUAUUGCAUGUACUGUAUGAAUAAGCAUCGGCUAACUCCGUGGCAGCAUGCGCUGUAA
This 503-nucleotide ribosomal RNA is filed under the name uncultured bacterium. RNAcentral's name for it is "partial 16S ribosomal RNA". It matches the Rfam family "Bacterial small subunit ribosomal RNA", at positions 28 to 523 of the family's 1533-position model. The record is from RNAcentral.